This 764-nucleotide ribosomal RNA is filed under the name uncultured cyanobacterium. RNAcentral's name for it is "bacterial SSU rRNA". It matches the Rfam family "Bacterial small subunit ribosomal RNA", at positions 8 to 811 of the family's 1533-position model. Lineage: Bacteria; Bacillati; Cyanobacteriota. The record is from RNAcentral.
ANAGUUUGAUGAUGGCUCAGAAUGAACGCUGGCGGUAUGCUUUACACAUGCAAGUCGUACGAGAGUUUUUAACUCAAGUGGCGGACGGGUGAGUAACACGUAAGAAUUUGCCUUUAGGAGGGGGACAACAACUGGAAACGGUUGCUAAUACCCCAUAUGCUUUCGAGUGAAAUGGAUUUUUCCGCCUAAAGAGAAGCUUGCGGCUGAUUAGCUUGUUGGUGAGGUAAUGGCUCACCAAGGCGACGAUCAGUAUCUGGUUUGAGAGGACGAUCAGACACACUGGAACUGAGACACGGUCCAGACUCCUACGGGAGGCAGCAGUGGGGAAUUUUCCGCAAUGGGCGAAAGCCUGACGGAGCAAUACCGCGUGAGGGAUGACGGCCUAUGGGUUGUAAGCCUCUUUUUUCAGGGAGGAAUCAAAUGACGUGUACCUGAAGAAUAAGCAUCGGCUAACUCCGUGCCAGCAGCCGCGGUAAGACGGAGGAUGCAAGUGUUAUCCGGAAUCACUGGGCGUAAAGCGUCUGUAGGUGGUCCAAUAAGUCAACUGUUAAAUCUUGAGGCUCAACCUCAAAAUCGCAGUCGAAACUAUUAGACUAGAGUAUAGUAGGGGUAAAGGGAAUUUCCAGUGGAGCGGUGAAAUGCGUAGAGAUUGGAAAGAACACCGAUGGCGAAGGCACUUUACUGGGCUAUUACUAACACUCAGAGACGAAAGCUAGGGUAGCAAAUGGGAUUAGAUACCCCAGUAGUCCUAGCCGUAAACAAUG